RNAcentral lists this ribosomal RNA (515 nucleotides) under uncultured Bacillota bacterium. RNAcentral describes it as "bacterial SSU rRNA". It matches the Rfam family "Bacterial small subunit ribosomal RNA", at positions 355 to 858 of the family's 1533-position model. Lineage: Bacteria; Bacillati; Bacillota. The record is from RNAcentral.
UAGGGAAUCUUCCGCAAUGGACGAAAGUCUGACGGAGCAACGCCGCGUGAGUGAUGAAGGUUUUCGGAUCGUAAAACUCUGUUGUUAGGGAAGAACAAGUACCGUUCGAAUAGGGCGGUACCUUGACGGUACCUAACCAGAAAGCCACGGCUAACUACGUGCCAGCAGCCGCGGUAAUACGUAGGUGGCAAGCGUUGUCCGGAAUUAUUGGGCGUAAAGCGCGCGCAGGUGGUUUCUUAAGUCUGAUGUGAAAGCCCACGGCUCAACCGUGGAGGGUCAUUGGAAACUGGGGAACUUGAGUGCAGAAGAGGAAAGUGGAAUUCCAAGUGUAGCGGUGAAAUGACGUAGAUAUUUGGAGGAACACCAGUGGCGAAGGCGACUUUCUGGUCUGUAACUGACACUGAGGCGCGAAAGCGUGGGGGAGCAAAACAGGAUUAGAUAACCCUGGUAGUCCACGCCGUAAACGAUGAGUGCUAAGUGUUAGAGGGUUUCGCCUUUAGUGCUGCAGCUAACGC